This 72-nucleotide transfer RNA is filed under the name Heterocephalus glaber (naked mole-rat). It matches the Rfam family "tRNA". Rfam says of the family: Transfer RNA (tRNA) molecules are approximately 80 nucleotides in length. Their secondary structure includes four short double-helical elements and three loops (D, anti-codon, and T loops). Lineage: Eukaryota; Metazoa; Chordata; Mammalia; Rodentia; Bathyergidae. The record is from Rfam by way of RNAcentral.
GGAGAUGUAGCUCAGUGGUAGAGUACUUGCCUAGCAAGUAUGGGGCUGUGGGUUUGAUCUCCAGCAUCUGCA